Molecule: long non-coding RNA, 4649 nt
Organism: Numida meleagris (helmeted guineafowl)
Lineage: Eukaryota; Metazoa; Chordata; Aves; Galliformes; Numididae
Exons: 2
Source: RefSeq, a predicted model, not a curated record
UCCAACUCAAACAAUUCUAUAUGCUCUCAUUAACUGAAGCACAUGCAUGAGAUAUCCCAGUAAUUGAUUUCUGGAAAGCAACUGGCCAAGGAAGGACAUCAGCAGGCUGGCAGCCUUCUUUCUGGAUGGUUUCCUGUUUUUCAACCAGAUGCCAGUUCAUUUCCCUGACCCAGCAGAGGAAGAUGGUUUAUGGCCUCUUCUGUUACAUACUUAUGAGAGCAGGAGCUUGCAUCAUUAGUUUUCUCCCAUCCCAAGAAAAUAGCCAUUACAAGCUUAAAUAAAAAUUAGUGGCCAAAAAGUCACUUCACUAUGUACAUUUCCAUUCCCAGAAGAAAAGCAUGUUAGAAAGCAUCACAAAUAAGAGGCACAACUCAUGCUGCUAGCAGUGGAGAGAGACAGCUGAUGCCUCCGAUGAUUACAUUUCUCUUGUCAUCAGAUAUGUUCAGCAGAGAUGAAAAAUUCAUUUCAUGAUGAAAAUCCUUUGUUAAAGCCUCUCUCUUGCAGAGAGAGUGCUGUAGCCCAAUCUGCUUAGCACACCACAUGCCUAGCAGUGACCAUGGGAGACAGCAUUUGAUGUGAGCUACAGUCUGAAAACAGGAUGGUGUAGUCAGAGAGUUAUUCCAAUUAGCUUUCCCUGGUUAAGAUUCAUUUUUACUUUUGAUAAAAUAGAUUAAGUUGAUCAUUCAGAAAUUCAGCCUUCUUGCCAUCCCAUUACACUCUUAUCAGUGGCAGUCAAAAAUACUAGGAAAGACAAGUUUUAAGGAAUGAGCUGGAGAAUGAUUUGAACUGGCUUAAAAAGUUACUACUGCUAUACAUGUUUGCUCCCCCCAAGGCCUCCCGGUCCUUGCUAUCAGCUCCACUGUGCUCUGCACCUGCUGCACAUUCUCUCAUUUCAGGAUAAUUUGGCAUCCACAAAACACUACUGUCAGGAAUUUGCUGCUGCUCCUGGCAGGUAGAAGCACGCUCAGCUUUGCAGCUGUUUACUGUACAUCUACUAAAGUUUUCAGAGGCUGUAGAGGCAGGAGAAGCAUAAAAAAAAAAUUUCCAUCCUUUCCAUCACUACUGCAAUGUGUCAAAUCUCCAGCAGGUGCAAACAAGCAUGAGAUUCUGCACCUUGUGUCACCACCUGCUCUGAGCUUUAGUCACUCAAUUCAGCCCAAAUCCUCAUGAACAUCUAACCAGAGCUUCCUCAUGCAUAUUCUCCACAUCUAAAUGAUCAAACUAACAUUCUGCUGGGCAGCACUUCUUUCUUGAUAACUGUCUGGAAGGGCUUCCAACUUGUCCACUAUCUUUUAUGCUCAGAGCUAGAGCUGACCGCUACCCAGGGCAGCUAAUCCAUACAAACUCCUUCAUUUUCUGGUGUGGCAGCACAGAGAUGCAGGAGUGCUCCAUGCCCCAUAUACACCUUUCCUCUUCUCUCCACAAGCAUCCUCCUGGGAUGCUCUUACUGCUGGCCCAAAGCAGUCAGAGCUGGUUUAUCAAGAGUCCUGUUACACAGGAGGUGCUGAGGGGAACAGAGGGGUUGGAGCUGGCAAUAAACAUUUAUUUUAUAGUACUCUAGGUAAGGUCAAUGUACUGGAAGAUGAGGAGAGGGGAAAUAAGCACUUACCCAGCCAAUUACUGUACUUCACAGCCUUUCCUCUCCCACACAUCACACCUUUUCAUGUGACACUGAAAAAGUCACUUAAGAAGGUGGCAAUGAAUCAAGCAAGAUACUCCUUAUCUCUGAGCCUGAAGAGCUGCUGGAAAUCACUCCUUCAGGGAAAGGGAUGGUGCUCUGCCAGAUCUACAUUGCCAGUGGCCUUCGUAACAAGGGUUGGGGAGUUCUCCCAUAGCAUCAGCUAGGACAGAACAUUGCCUUAUGCUUCACUGUUUGGGGUGAAUGACCUUAAAUUGCACCAGGGAAGGCUCAGGUUGGAUAUUAGGAAGAAUUUAUUCUCAGAGUGGUGAGGUGCUGGAACACGUUGCCUAGGGAGGUGGUGGAUUUGCUAUUCCUGGUGGUGCUUAAGGAAAGGGAAUAAUACUAAGGGACAUGAUUUAGUUGGCAAUAUUGGUGGGAGGUGGACAGUUGGACUAUAUGAUCUUAGAAGUCUUUUCCAACCUCAGUGAUUCUACCUGAGACCUUAGCUCUAGGAUUGCAGCCAUAAACCACAAAGAUCUUGAAGAGUAUCUGGAGAUUAUGGGGAAUGUACCAGGUUUCCCUAGAGGAUGCUGGAAGUAAACCAUGCAGAAAAAGCAAUACAUCAUGCCAUCACCCCCCCCCCCCACCUACCAUACAAGUAGGCUGCUGGGAGAGCAUUUAUAUCCCCCCCUCCCAACACUCAACAGCAACAUCACCUGGGGCAGCCACAUUACCCACCCAGAGACAGGUGAGGGUGUUUUAGGCAGCAGCAGUGUGAACCCAGCUGGAAUCAUUUACACAAGAGACAUGGCUGCACCUCAGAGUUUUAGUAGUCAAAAAAACAGUAUCUGCAAAAUGACUAUUUUGUGUUUAAACUAAGACUGGUAGUGCCAGGAGGGAUGGUGACUCAGAGGCCUCAUACCCGUUCCUCCUCAGAGCCUGCAUUUGCGUCAUCCUGCGUCAAGCACCAAGCCAGCUCCGCUUUACUACUGCAGAAACCUGUUUUUCAUGUCCUUGUUUCCUGCCUGAUGGUUUCUUGUGUAGGUGGCAGCAGAAGUCUAUCACACAACAUCGCAGAGCCUGUCCGAGGAGAGUGUUGCACUGGGAUGAUUUCAUUUCUGUUUGAGCUGGUUUUUAUUGCACUGACGAUACUGGUACUUUAUCCCUCUGGUUUAGCCUGAAUGGAUUUUUGAGCUCACAUCCCAAAAUGAGAGAAGAAAACAGCUCUGAGGCACUUCUAAAAUAAGAAGAGUCCAUCAGCAACUUCACAAUGACUUUACAUCCAUGCCUUAUGUUUCCAUGUGCAUCAGAUCCUUUAGGGCACGUUGGCUUCCUGCAUUUCCCACUGUCCCUCAGAAAGAGACUGCCAAGGUAAAUAUUAUUAACCCACCAAACCCAAUACGGUGUCAAUCCUAGUCACUGUACCAUCCUUCAGGUGUAUUUUCUCCAAAUGAAAUUCAAGUAGAAAGGGGGUUAGGAAAUGGAUUGCAUUUCCUCCUUCCCCAUAGGCGCAGUCCGCUUUAUAAAGGAACAUACUCAGAACAAGGCCUAGAUGCACCUAGCAAGGGCUAUAACUGGUCUGAUGAAAACAUACCGCUUUCAGUAAAGGCUACUGGGCCUUAGGAGGGCAUCUGUAAUGUGCCAACAUACAAUUCUACCAGAGGAAAAUUAAACAUGAGACAUGGCUGCUCCCAAAGCCGGCUUUGCCUGAGCCCGCCUGGUCUGCAGAAGGGGUUCUGAUGCACCUGUAUCCAGGUAACACUUCAGGCAGGAGACAGCAGUGCCCUCGCUGGGCUUCCAGCCUGUCUCUGUGCUGACACACAGAACAGGUCUAUUGCCCUCUUUGUGUGUCUGCUCACUCACCUGUGGAGAGGAUAAUUUUCCUUCAUUUCUCUCAGAAAACAGGAGGUUAACUUCAGGAAAGCUAGAAUUUUUCUGAUGGAAGGUAGAGCAACAGAACAAAAUAUCUGUGGACAUUAAAUGAGGGAAACUUGAAGACCUACGUGCCAUUCCUCUUCAUUCAAAGGGCAAUGAAUCCAAGCUCCGUACCCUUUUCUGAAGUUUAUUAAUAAGGUUUGGAAAUGCAUUGUGUGAUGGGAGUCAUCAUUCCAAUAUUGCUCCACAGUGCCAAGCCAAAAUACCAGUAAAUUAAAACCCUUUUUAUCAGUACAGUGGAGGGACCUGCCAGUGAAUGAUCUCCCAUCCACUUUGUAGGACUGAUUACAGAUAGAAAUGGGCAGCCUGCUGGAGAGGACAGCUCCAGCUCCUUAAAACCCCAGGUGACCUGCUGCCAAUGUUUCCUUUCUCCCACUUGCUUUACAUUUUGUUGUAGCUUCUUGACCUCAUUAGAAAACUCUAAGACCCAGUUUGGGACUGAGGUUGGUAGAAAAUUGAACUGGACCCAAGGAAUAUUCAAUCAAAACAACACAGUCACCAGAAAGCCUUCACAGAGUUAAACAGGAAAAUAACUUUGCUGCUGGCAUUCAGCUCUGAAAAAUGUGCAUGGAUAAGGGGAUUUGCAGCACAUGAUGUGCAUGAGAUCUGUGCAGGCCAUCUGAAGCAUCCUGGCUUGUUUGCUCCUGGAGCACCACGGCUAGAAUGAGUGCCUGUCUCCAAGGGGCUGCCACCACUGCAGCAGGAACUAGUUUUGGCAGCCUUUGCUUUGCUGCUUCAAAAGCAGUGACACGUUUCCAGCCAUUGCUGCUCAAAGUUAAAAGCUUGUCAUAACAUGUCAGGUGGCGAGGCUGCAGCACGAGGCUGAUGAGACAACUUUCAGUCCACUGCAGACAGCCUGCUCUGGGUGCUGAAGGGAUGGAGAGCUGGCAUCUGAGUACCGAGAAAAGGCUUCCUCUGCUUAUGGCAGAAUCUCUCUCCCUCCUCUUGCCAGGGGCUCCAGUUGGAAAUUUGGACAAAUUUUUGUUUUAAAAAGUAUAAUCAUUUCUCUUGUUAGAAACAUUUCUGCAAGCUUCACAAUUGAGUGAACAGUGAAACCAGAUUUCCACCAAUACUCCCCCCCCCAAAAAAAAAA